GACGAACGCUGGCGGCGUGCUUAAUACAUGCAAGUCGAACGGAGCCUAGCUGGUGGUUUACUACCGGCGAAAGCUUAGUGGCGGACGGGUGAGUAACGCGUGGGUAAUCUACCCCUAAGUCCGGGAUAACAGAGCGAAAGUUCUGCUAAUACCGGAUACUCUUCCCGGGUCGCAUGGUCUGGGAAGGAAAGGUUUACUGCUUAGGGAUGAGCCCGCGUCCCAUUAGCUAGUUGGUGAGGUAACGGCUCACCAAGGCGACGAUGGGUAGCCGGCCUGAGAGGGUGGACGGCCACACUGGGACUGAGACACGGCCCAGACUCCUACGGGAGGCAGCAGUAGGGAAUAUUGCGCAAUGGACGGAAGUCUGACGCAGCGACGCCGCGUGAGCGAUGAAGGUCUUCGGAUCGUAAAGCUCUGUCCUUGGGGAAAAGGCGAAAGCUUGACGGUACCCAAGAAGAAAGCCCCGGCUAACUACGUG
Molecule: ribosomal RNA, 478 nt
Filed under: uncultured bacterium
Lineage: Bacteria
Description: bacterial SSU rRNA
Rfam family: Bacterial small subunit ribosomal RNA
Source: RNAcentral